UGUUUUUCAACAAAAUUUUGUGUCAGGCACUGUUCAGUGCACCGAUGGUAGGGGAAUGAAUGAGAUAGUCUCAACAUCUAGAAGUUUGCCAUCUACUCCAGGGAGACAAGUGUAAUAAAGUGUGUUUCAGACACAACCUCAAAGCAAAGAGGAACCUCUCCAAGAACUUGAGCAGUUCAGAUGCAAGCCUGAUCCAUCUCCUUACCUUCCUUCCUCAGAGACAACUACUAUCAAGAAUCUGGAAUAAGGUCAGAGGACCCAAAAGCUUCUUUCCCGUUGUGAGAGAGCGGGAGUCUCUAGAGCCACCCAGUGUGAAUUCUCGGUGAGCUUCCAGGUGACUGGCUAUUGUCCUCACAAGUUAAGAAGGCAAAAGUAUUUUUAAACACAAUAAGAAGGCUCAAGUAUUGUUAAACACAAGCAGAAAGCCCUCCUAGAUAAA
Molecule: long non-coding RNA, 439 nt
Organism: Pipistrellus kuhlii (Kuhl's pipistrelle)
Lineage: Eukaryota; Metazoa; Chordata; Mammalia; Chiroptera; Vespertilionidae
Exons: 4
Source: RefSeq, a predicted model, not a curated record